CGGGUAACGGAGAAUAAGGGUUCGACUCCGGAGAGGGAGCCUGAGAAAUGGCUACCACAUCCAAGGAUGGCAGCAGGCGCGCAAAUUACCCACUCUCAGUACGAGGAGGUAGUGACGAAAAAUAACAAUGCGGGACUCAUCAGAGGCCUCGCAAUUGGAAUGAGCGCACUUUAAAUCGUUCGACGAGGAUCUAUUGGAGGGCAAGUCUGGUGCCAGCAGCCGCGGUAAUUCCAGCUCCAAUAGCGUAUAUUAAAGUUGUUGCAGUUAAAAAGCUCGACUCUUACUAGCCGGUGCGUCUUGCGGUGCUCUUCAUCGAGUGCCGUAGGAGCCUGGCAUGUUUACUUUGAAAAGAUUAGAGUGCUCAAAGCAGGCGAUUCCGCCUGAAUAGUGUUGCAUGGAAUAAUGGAAUAGGACCUCGGUUCUAUUUUGUUGGUUUUCGGAACUUGAGGUAAUGAUUAAGAGGGACGGUCGGGGGCAUUCGUAUUUCGGUGUUAGAGGUGAAAUUCUUGGAUCGCUGAAAGACGGACAAAUGCGAAAGCAUCUGCCAAGAACGUCUCCAUUAAUCAAGAACGAAAGUCAGAGGUUCGAAGACGAUCAGACACCGUCCUAGUUCUGACCAUAAACGAUGCCAACUAGCGAUCCGCAGUGGUUGCUAUAAACGGACUCUGCGAGCAGCUUCCGGGAAACCAAAGUGUUUGGGUUCCGGGGGAAGUAUGGUUGCAAAGCUGAAACUUAAAGGAAUUGACGGAAGGGCACCACCAGGAGUGGAGCCUGCGGCUUAAUUUGACCCAACACGGGGAAACUCACCCGGUCCGGACACUGUAAGGAUUGACAGAUCGAGAGCUCUUUCUUGAUUCGGUGGAUGGUGGUGCAUGGCCGUUCUUAGUUGGUGGAGUGAUUUGUCUGGUUAAUUCCGAUAACGAACGAGACUCUAGCCUGCUAACUAGUUGCGCCGUGUUCAUACGCGGCUGUAGACUUCUUAGAGGGACAGGUGGCGUUUAGCCACACGAAAUUGAGCAAUAACAGGUCUGUGAUGCCCUUAGAUGUCCGGGGCCGCACGCGCGCUACACUGAAGGAGUCAGCGUGUGCUAUCCGGGCUCGGAAGAGUUCGGUAACCCGUUGAAACUCCUUCGUGCUUGGGAUUGUGGCUUGUAAUUAUCGCGCAUGAACGAGGAAUUCCCAGUAAGUGCAAGUCAUCAGCUUGCGCUGACUACGUCCCUGCCCUUUGUACACACCGCCCGUCGCUACUACCGAUUGAAUGGUUUAGCAAGGUACUCGGAUUGGUCUCGAUCUUGUACGAAAGUGCGGGAUCUGUGGCCGAGAAGAAGGCCAAACUUGAUCAUUUAGAGGAAGUAAAAGUCGUAACAAGGUU
This 1372-nucleotide ribosomal RNA is filed under the name metagenome. RNAcentral describes it as "SSU rRNA". It matches the Rfam family "Eukaryotic small subunit ribosomal RNA", at positions 356 to 1801 of the family's 1831-position model. The record is from RNAcentral.